UUUCCGUAGGUGAACCUGCGGAAGGAUCAUUAAUGAGUUGUCAUGGGGGUCGUUACUUGCGGCCAGUUUUUGGAUGCAUGUGCUUGCCCUAACAAUCAUCUUCUUCCAACCACCUUUGCACCUUUUUGUGGGCUUUUUUAGUUGGUUGCCGCUCUUGGCUGAUUUUCUCACAUUCCCUUAAAUCAUAAUACGCUAUUAACAAGGUUGAACGUGCUCUGCUCCGCAAGGCCAUUAAUAUAAUACAACUUUUAACAACGGAUCUCUUGGCUCUC
This 272-nucleotide unclassified non-coding RNA is filed under the name plant metagenome. RNAcentral's name for it is "partial contains small subunit ribosomal RNA, internal transcribed spacer 1, and 5.8S ribosomal RNA". The record is from RNAcentral.